UGAACGCUGGCGGCAGGCCUAACACAUGCAAGUCGAACGGUAACAGGAAGCAGCUUGCUGCUUUGCUGACGAGUGGCGGACGGGUGAGUAAUGUCUGGGAAACUGCCUGAUGGAGGGGGAUAACUACUGGAAACGGUGGCUAAUACCGCAUAAYGUCGCAAGACCAAAGAGGGGGACCUUCGGGCCUCUUGCCAUCAGAUGUGCCCAGAUGGGAUUAGCUUGUUGGUGAGGUAACGGCUCACCAAGGCGACGAUCCCUAGCUGGUCUGAGAGGAUGACCAGCCACACUGGAACUGAGACACGGUCCAGACUCCUACGGGAGGCAGCAGUGGGGAAUAUUGCACAAUGGGCGCAAGCCUGAUGCAGCCAUGCCGCGUGUAUGAAGAAGGCCUUCGGGUUGUAAAGUACUUUCAGCGGGGAGGAAGGUGUUG
RNAcentral lists this ribosomal RNA (430 nucleotides) under Salmonella enterica subsp. enterica serovar Oranienburg. RNAcentral describes it as "bacterial SSU rRNA". It matches the Rfam family "Bacterial small subunit ribosomal RNA", at positions 30 to 456 of the family's 1533-position model. The record is from RNAcentral. Lineage: Bacteria; Pseudomonadati; Pseudomonadota; Gammaproteobacteria; Enterobacterales; Enterobacteriaceae.